This 253-nucleotide ribosomal RNA is filed under the name uncultured bacterium. RNAcentral's name for it is "partial 16S ribosomal RNA". It matches the Rfam family "Bacterial small subunit ribosomal RNA", at positions 524 to 776 of the family's 1533-position model. The record is from RNAcentral.
UACAGAGGGGGCAAGCGUUGUUCGGAAUUACUGGGCGUAAAGGGCGCGUAGGCGGCCUUCUAAGUCGAACGUGAAAUCCCUGGGCUCAACCCAGGAACUGCGUCCGAUACUGGUUGGCUUGAAUCCGGGAGAGGGAUGCGGAAUUCCAGGUGUAGCGGUGAAAUGCGUAGAGAUCUGGAGGAACACCGAUGGCGAAGGCAGCUCCCUGGGCUGACACUGACGCUCAUGCACGAAAGCGUGGGGAGCAAACAGG